CCAGACUCCUACGGGAGGCAGCAGUGGGGAAUAUUGCACAAUGGGGGAAACCCUGAUGCAGCGACGCCGCGUGGGUGAAGGAGUGCUUCGGCAUGUAAAGCCCUAUCGGCAGGGAAGAAGCAAGACGGUACCUGACUAAGAAGCCCCGGCUAACUACGUGCCAGCAGCCGCGGUAAUACGUAGGGGGCGAGCGUUAUCCGGAUUUACUGGGUGUAAAGGGAGCGUAGACGGCCAGACAAGUCUGAAGUGAAAAUCCAGCGCUUAACGUUGGAAGUGCUUUGGAAACUGCCGGGCUGGAGUGCAGGAGGGGCAGGCGGAAUUCCUAGUGUAGCGGUGAAAUGCGUAGAUAUUAGGAGGAACACCAGUGGCGAAGGCGGCCUGCUGGACUGCAACUGACGUUGAGGCUCGAAGGCGUGGGGAGCACACAGGAUUAGAUACCCCAGUAA
RNAcentral lists this ribosomal RNA (446 nucleotides) under uncultured bacterium. RNAcentral's name for it is "bacterial SSU rRNA". It matches the Rfam family "Bacterial small subunit ribosomal RNA", at positions 331 to 793 of the family's 1533-position model. The record is from RNAcentral.